GCCGACCUUCCCGCCCUUUCUUCCUGCGUGCCUGGGCCAUGGCCGGCCAUGGCGGCGGACACCGGUACCGGAGGCUUCCGGCACCUCGCCAGGGGGGCCGGGACUGCUGGAACGGCUCCCCGCAGAACGACGUCCUGAAGUAAACAAGCCUGGUCUUUCCAGAUAAAUGUGACACAACUAGGACUGGGAGCAGGUCGCUCUUUGGACAUGGCCCCAGUGUGAAGGUCUCGGCUGCCAUGAGGUGGUUGUUACUAAUGUCUGCCAACUAAUGUUACAGCUCUUCACAAGUCCUGUGGAAGGAGAUGAGAGAGGAAGAGCAGGAAAUUCUUCUGGGUGUUUGUGCUGAAAAUGGCUGAGGAAGAAGGAAUCCAAUAAAAUACGCCGGUGAGGUUGGAGGCUAGUGGUUGUAAACAUUACAUAUUUUUCUGCACUAAGAUGUUAAAUGGUAACAGUUACAGUUUUCAUUACACAUAUAUUAAAAUUCUCUCAAAAAA
Calidris pugnax (ruff) is the source of this 494-nucleotide long non-coding RNA. RefSeq lists it as uncharacterized. The transcript is spliced from 6 exons. NCBI's taxonomy places the organism in Eukaryota, Metazoa, Chordata, Aves, Charadriiformes, Scolopacidae. The record is from RefSeq and is a predicted model, not a curated record.